RNAcentral lists this ribosomal RNA (466 nucleotides) under uncultured bacterium. RNAcentral describes it as "partial 16S ribosomal RNA". It matches the Rfam family "Bacterial small subunit ribosomal RNA", at positions 29 to 507 of the family's 1533-position model. The record is from RNAcentral.
ACGAACGCUGGCGGCGUGCUUCACCCAUGCCAGUCGAACGGAAAGGCCCUGCUUUUGUGGGGUGCUCGAGUGGCGAACGGGUGAGUAACACGUGAGUAACCUGCCCUUGACUUUGGGAUAACUUCAGGAAACUGGGGCUAAUACCGGAUAGGAGCUCCUGCUGCAUGGUGGGGGUUGGAAAGUUUCGGCGGUUGGGGAUGGACUCGCGGCUUAUCAGCUUGUUGGUGGGUAGUGGCUUACCAAGGCUUUGACGGGUAGCCGGCCUGAGAGGGUGACCGGCCACAUUGGGACUGAGAUACGGCCCAGACUCCUACGGGAGGCAGCAGUGGGGAAUAUUGCACAAUGGGCGGAAGCCUGAUGCAGCAACGCCGCGUGCGGGAUGACGGCCUUCGGGUUGUAAACCGCUUUCGCCUGUGACGAAGCGUGAGUGACGGUAAUGGGUAAAGAAGCACCGGCUAACUACGUG